RNAcentral lists this ribosomal RNA (253 nucleotides) under Enterococcus hirae. Its description in RNAcentral is "partial 16S ribosomal RNA". It matches the Rfam family "Bacterial small subunit ribosomal RNA", at positions 441 to 687 of the family's 1533-position model. Lineage: Bacteria; Bacillati; Bacillota; Bacilli; Lactobacillales; Enterococcaceae. The record is from RNAcentral.
AGAGAAGAACAAGGAUGAGAGUAACUGUUCAUCCCUUGACGGUAUCUAACCAGAAAGCCACGGCUAACUACGUGCCAGCAGCCGCGGUAAUACGUAGUGGCAAGCGUUGUCCGGAUUUAUUGGGCGUAAAGCGAGCGCAGGCGGUUUCUUAAGUCUGAUGUGAAAGCCCCCGGCUCAACCGGGGAGGGUCAUUGGAAACUGGGAGACUUGAGUGCAGAAGAGGAGAGUGGAAUUCCAUGUGUAGCGGUGAAAU